AAUCUUAUUCAUUUAAAAAAUUAAUAAUCCUAAUCUUGGUCCUUUCGUACUAAAAAUUAGUAAUUAUAUAAAGAUAGAAACCAACCUGGCUCACACCGGUUUAAACUCAGAUCAUGUAAAGUUUUAAUGGUCGAACAGACCAAAUAAUUAAAAUUCUCCUCCUAAUAUAAACUUUAAUCCAACAUCGAGGUCGCAAUCUCUUUUUUCGAUUUGAACUCUAAAAAAAAAUAACGCUGUUAUCCCUAAGGUAAUUUAAUCUUUUAAUCAUUUUUAUGGAUCAUAAAAUCAUACAUCAAUGUAAAAAUAAAGAAAAAGUUAAUUUAAUUUUUCAAUCACCCCAAUUAAAUUAUUAAAUUAAAUUUAUAAAUUAAAAUUCUAAAAAUAUAAAAAUAAUUAAUAAUUAAACUCUAUAGGGUCUUCUCGUCUAUUAUAAAAAUUUAAGCUUUUUAACUUAAAAAUAAAAUUCUUAAAAAUUAAAAUAAAAAAAGCUAUUUUCUCAUCAAACCAUUCAUACAAGCUUUCAAUUAAAAAACUAAUGAUUAUGCUACCUUUGCACAGUCAAAAUACUGCGGCCCUUUAAAAAUUCAGUGGGCAGGCCCUACUUUAAAUUAAAAUCAAAAAGAGAUGUUUUUAAUAAACAGGUGAAAAAUAUAUUUGCCGAAUUCUUUUAUUUUACCUUUCUAUAUAUUAUAUAUAUAUAUAUAUAUAUAUAUAUAUAUAUAUAUAUAAUACUAAUUUUAUCAUCAUUAAAACAAUUCUAAUAUUAUAUUAUUUAUUUUAAUAAAAAAAUUAAAUUAAAUAAAAAUAUUAAAUUUAUAAAUAACAAAUUUUUACAAACUUUAAAUAAAAAAAAUUUUCAAUUCUAUAAAUUAUUAAUUUUUAAUUAAUUAUAAAAAUUUAAAUUAAAGCUUAUCCCUUAAUUUAUUUAAUAUUAAAUUUAAAUUAUUAAAAAAAAAUAACUUAAAAUUUAACUUUAAAAUUAAAUUUUUUUCUUAAAAAACUAGAUAUAUUUAAAAACGGAUAACAUUUCAUUACUAAAUUAAUAUUAUAAAUAUUUAUGAUACAAUAAUAUAAAUAUUAGUUUAGCCCUUUUAAAUUCGAGAUAUAUAUAUAUAUAUAUAUAUAUAUAUAUUUUUUAAUAAACCCUGAUACACAAGGUACAAAAUUUUUUUUUCUUUUUAUUAUAUAAAUAUACUUCCUUCACAGUACUAAUAAUCUAUAAUUAAUAUGAAUUUUUCUUUUCAAUUAAUAAAAACCUUAUUAUUUUAAUUAAAUUUUUUAAACAUUCAAAAAUAAUAAUAAAAUCUAU
This 1309-nucleotide ribosomal RNA is filed under the name Cheilomenes sexmaculata. RNAcentral describes it as "16S ribosomal RNA". Lineage: Eukaryota; Metazoa; Arthropoda; Insecta; Coleoptera; Coccinellidae. The record is from RNAcentral.